GGACCCGACCGCUAUCGGGGUGGGACUAAGCCAUGGGAGUCGUGCGCCCCGGGGUAUGGCGGGGCGCGGCGGACGGCUCAGUAACACGUGGCUAACCUACCCUCGGGACGGGGAUAACCCCUGGGAAACUGGGGCUAAUCCCCGAUAGGGGAGGUGGCCUGGAAUGGUCCCUCCCCGAAAGGGGCGUAGCGCCAUCCCCGCUGCGCCCGCCCGAGGAUGGGGCUGCGGCCCAUCAGGUAGUUGGCGGGGUAACGGCCCGCCAAGCCGAUAACGGGUGGGGGCCGUGAGAGCGGGAGCCCCGAGAUGGGCACUGAGACAAGGGCCCAGGCCCUAUGGGGCGCACCAGGCGCGAAACCUCCGCAAUGCGGGAAACCGUGACGGGGUCACCCCGAGUGCCUCCCGAUAAGGGAGGCUUUUCCCCGCUGUAAACAGGCGG
Molecule: ribosomal RNA, 436 nt
Filed under: uncultured crenarchaeote
Lineage: Archaea; Thermoproteati; Thermoproteota
Description: bacterial SSU rRNA
Rfam family: Archaeal small subunit ribosomal RNA
Source: RNAcentral